Oryza brachyantha (malo sina) is the source of this 1068-nucleotide long non-coding RNA. RefSeq lists it as uncharacterized. Lineage: Eukaryota; Viridiplantae; Streptophyta; Magnoliopsida; Poales; Poaceae. The transcript is spliced from 5 exons. The record is from RefSeq and is a predicted model, not a curated record.
UGCCGUCCGCCAACCGCGUGCGCUCUGCGCGAGAUGGGGCGAUUUUGCCGACGCUUCCAUCGAAUCCAAAGACGACCCGCGUUUCGGCCGCCGCCCAACUGCCUUCCCGCGGGCCGCGCGCGUCGUCGUCGUCUUCCAUUCCAGAUGCAGAGAUGCAGGAGAGGAGCCGAGCUGCGUCGUCUUCACUGGGCGAACCCACCACCUUACUGGUACUGCAUCCCCAAUCAACCAGCCUGCUCUGCACUAACCCAGAUCAAGCCUACCUUGCUUCGCCGGCGGCGUCGGUCGACGCCAUGGAUGCACAGGUAUAAAAGUACCAUCAGCCAAUUGAACUUGUGGUCUCCUUUCCUUCACCCAUUGGAAACACUGGGCAAGUCUCCAGCCUCUGGUCUUCAUCAAGAAGGCUAUCACAAAUGCUGCAGAUCUGGUAAAAAGACUGGAAGUACGAGCAUCCAUACCUAAAAAUUGUAUUGCAUCAUCAAACUGCAGAGUCUUCUCAUCUUGAAGGCAAUGUUAUCGAAGAGAGUUAUAUCCUUCUGAUAAGGAUAUACAUGAUAAGGUAGGAGUGGCAACACUUGGAGAAACACAUCAAUAUCGCUUCAGGUGGUUUCAGGGCUUUGGGCAUAUGCAACAGUGUGGACCGAUGCAUUGUGGAAUCAAGUGGUGUUACAGAUGAAAGACCCCCCCCCCCUCUUUGUUUUUUUCCUUGACAUCAACAAAUGAAUGGUUAAGGAACCAACAGCAUACACUACAUGUUGGUAUCCUCUUCAUUUUACAUCAAGCUCUGGCACAGAUAGGAUAAGGCCGUAAAAGAAAUUUCAAAGUGUAUAAUGUGCCAAAGCCCAAAGGUCUAGCUUUGGAAAGGUUGGUGAUUCUGAGUCAAUGCAACUCCUGCAAAUAGACCAAAACGAUUCAUAGCAAAUCAACACAAGUAAUGUAAGAUACUGUGGCCUAUUCUUUUCCAAAGAGAUUCCAUGAUCCUGCUCUAAAAAAUAAAAAAAGCUCAAACGAGACUGUAGUUACAUAGAGCGAGAUACUGUUAUGCAUGCAUCAUAACCACGGAUUCCA